UGUAAAGGACUACCAAGGCGAUGAUACAUAGCCGACCUGAGAGGGUGAUCGGCCACACUGGGACUGAGACACGGCCCAGACUCCUACGGGAGGCAGCAGUAGGGAAUCUUCGGCAAUGGGGGCAACCCUGACCGAGCAACGCCGCGUGAGUGAAGAAGGUUUUCGGAUCGUAAAACUCUGUUGUUAGAGAAGAACGUUAAGUAGAGUGGAAGAUUACUUAAGUGACGGUAUCUAACCAGAAAGGGACGGCUAACUACGUGCCAGCAGCCGCGGUAAUACGUAGGUCCCAAGCGUUGUCCGGAUUUAUUGGGCGUAAAGCGAGCGCAGGUGGUUUCUUAAGUCUGAUGUAAAAGGCACUGGCUCAACCAUUGUGUGCAUUGGAAACUGGGAGACUUGAGUGCAGGAGAGGAAAGUGGAAUUCCAUGUGUAGCGGUGAAAUGCGUAAAUAUAUGGAGGAACACCGGAGGCGAAAGCGGCUCUCUGGCCUGUAACUGACACUGAGGCUCGAAAGCGUGGGGAGCAAACAGGAUUAAAUACCCUGGUAGUCCACGCCGUAAACGAUGAGUGCUAACUGUUAGAGAGGUUUCCGUUCUUUGUAGCGCCACUAAAGCCUUAAACACCCCCCCUGGGGGAAUACCACCCCCAGGUUUGAACCUCAAGGGAUUUACG
This 669-nucleotide ribosomal RNA is filed under the name Lactococcus garvieae. Its description in RNAcentral is "bacterial SSU rRNA". It matches the Rfam family "Bacterial small subunit ribosomal RNA", at positions 256 to 915 of the family's 1533-position model. Lineage: Bacteria; Bacillati; Bacillota; Bacilli; Lactobacillales; Streptococcaceae. The record is from RNAcentral.